Molecule: ribosomal RNA, 583 nt
Filed under: uncultured Alternaria
Lineage: Eukaryota; Fungi; Ascomycota; Dothideomycetes; Pleosporales; Pleosporaceae
Description: eukaryotic LSU rRNA
Rfam family: 5.8S ribosomal RNA (bases 209-362)
Source: RNAcentral
GCAACCUUGAUUAAUCCGUAGGUGAACAGCGGAGGGAUCAUUACACAAAUAUGAAGGCGGGCUGGAACCUCUCGGGGUUACAGCCUUGCUGAAUUAUUCACCCUUGUCUUUUGCGUACUUCUUGUUUCCUUGGUGGGUUCGCCCACCACUAGGACAAACAUAAACCUUUUGUAAUUGCAAUCAGCGUCAGUAACAAAUUAAUAAUUACAACUUUCAACAACGGAUCUCUUGGUUCUGGCAUCGAUGAAGAACGCAGCGAAAUGCGAUAAGUAGUGUGAAUUGCAGAAUUCAGUGAAUCAUCGAAUCUUUGAACGCACAUUGCGCCCUUUGGUAUUCCAAAGGGCAUGCCUGUUCGAGCGUCAUUUGUACCCUCAAGCUUUGCUUGGUGUUGGGCGUCUUGUCUCUAGCUUUGCUGGAGACUCGCCUUAAAGUAAUUGGCAGCCGGCCUACUGGUUUCGGAGCGCAGCACAAGUCGCACUCUCUAUCAGCAAAGGUCUAGCAUCCAUUAAGCCUUUUUUUCAACUUUUGACCUCGGAUCAGGUAGGGAUACCCGCUGAACUUAAGCAUAUCAAUAAGCGGAGGA